UACAAUUUUUAAAAUGUGGGAUUCAAUUUUUUUCAAAGUGAGAAUGGUUGGAUGUGGUGACAUGAAAUUUCAUGCUAACCUUUUCUCAGCUGCCUUGUGGAGAAGAAGACAUUUGGUUUCUGAGAGUAGAACUGCAGAAUGUAUGGCUACCCCCCAUUGAGCCUGUAGGGAGAUUUGCUCUUUGUUGUGGGGUUUUUCAGCAGCUUGAUGAGAAUGUGGCUACAAGGAAGAAGAAAAGGCGCAGGAAAUUUUCUGGGAACUUAUGACUAGUGGCAGCAGGUGACCUUGGAAAAUGAUGAGUUAUCAUGGCUUGACUUCUGAUACAGAAUUAGAUCCCCCAUUGUGAUCAUCUCCCCUUUAUGUAAAAACUAAGUAUACAAUGUUUAGCUCCCUGUAUGGUAAUGAAAUCUUAGGCGGUUCUUUUUCCUUAGAUAAGCCACGAAUGCCUUCUACUGUGAUUCCCCACCUUCAUGAGACCAUAGUUCAUAUAUCACAUGAUGAGUAUUUGUAUUUAUAAUUUGUAAAUGUUUACAAGAGAAUUGAUUGUAUUUGUAUUUCUCAUUCAUGUACAAGUAUGCAAAAAUUGAUAGGCCUUUGCCCAUGACAUACUACAUUGUAUGUUCUAAAACCUAGUGAUUGAGGAUAUUGAGGAGAGAAACCCUGGUUUUGAUCAACCUCCUGGAUAGGAACUCUAGACCUUCUUCAAGAUCUUGAAUGCUCGACUCCAAUUUCCCUAAUUUAUUUUGCACAUUAUCAACAUGAACUGGGUUAACUGAUUUGCCCUUGUGAUCAAUGAGGGUGUUCAAUGCAGAAUCCACCUUCUCAAAAUCAGUGAGGCCUGCUGGUGCUUCCUCACACGCUACCUGCUUGUGGUGGAUCAGUUUUGAAACUAAAGACCAGCUGCUUGACUUUGAUCUCACAGUUGAUCCAGAUAUUGAGGAUAACAAAGAUUCAAGCACUGUGAGAGUCACCAUUUCCACCUCUCUUAACAUGCUGACCAUGGAGAGAGCCUCAGAGUCUGUGUUCAAGGGAGAGAAACUGCACUUGUUCUUCAUGCCCUUCAGAUUGUUUAGGGCCUUGUGGAUUGCCUUCAUCACCUUCUUCCUAGAGGUUAAAUAUUCCUCAACCUUGGUUGAGAUCCUAUAUUCACCUCUUCGCCUUCUGCGUAGAGUUGAUUGAAGUUCAUUUGUAUGUUCCUUUGUCUGCAACAGUGCUUCCUUAGCAGUGCCACAUGCAUCUAAUAGGCUGAGAGAUCCCUCCAUCAGCUCAUCGACCCAUAUCUUGUGCCCGUGUUGGGCUAAGAUCUGUUGGGUGAGUGGUAAUAGAAGCAAAUUGUCUACACAAUCAUGUAGAUCUUUUAGGCCACUAAGUUUGUGGCUUAUUGACGAUGAUGAGGUGGCCUCAGAAGCUUGUAAUCUGCAUAACUGCUCAUCAAAUUCAGGAAUGAGAGGGUGUGGCCUAGAGGGCAAGCUAAUGGAGCGAGCAUGGUAAUUGGCUUUUGGGUUUAGAGGAGUGACAGCCAUUUUUUCUUCCUUGGGAGAAAAGAAGGCCUGGAAGUUGAAUCUAUAAUUUGGCCUUGCAAUUUGCAGAUGCUUUGCGUUGCUCUAUCAUCUUCCCAGUAUAUAUAAUGGAGUCAGGAGACAAUAAGAAUUCCUUCCUCUCCAAAAAUCAAUGAAUGGUAAUGUGGUUAUGAUUUUGAUCUUAAUGAUAUCUCAGCGGUGUUUAGUCAUUGUCUCCCUCCAACCAGUUCCCCAACUCACCACCCAUUUAAUUUAACUUAGAAAAUCACAGGCUUAACGUUAUGUGAUCCUAGAAAUAAUUCUAGUAUAUGCAGCCCACGAGUGGCAGUCAAAAUCUCCUCUGAUAGAAGUAAUCUUUCUGCUCCUAUUCAUAUAUGUAUAUACAUCAUUUUUUUUUUGUUUUGUCUUUUUUUGCAUAUAUUACAGUUGUGUGACAAUAACCAAACAUGAGGAAUAAUUCAAUUCCAUAUGUUCCACCACUGUGAAAUUUGAUAUUCAGAAGACAACAGGUCUGCAUCACUCAUGCAAGCAUAUUCUGAGUAGGAUUUGCAAUUUCUUUUAAGGAUAGAGGGCCUUAAAAUUAAUCUGAUAUUGUGGAUAUUGUGAAGAAGAAAGUUAAUUUUCUAGCAAACCUGCAUGUUUCUUUUUGUUGGUAUAGUCAUAUUGCUUGUCCCUACAUCAUAUGAGAAGGAAAUUUCACCAAGAAAAUGAAAAAGUUUGAUGAUUAUGAGCACAGAAAUAUCUGAACAAAAAGAAUUUGAUGAGGAUUUUUCCUUCCGUACUAGGUCUCAACUCUGCUUGUUAUCACAAACCAGCACAAGACAAUCAAAACAAUUUGUAUGGCAUUAUGUUUAUGGAUCUUGCAUUUGAUUCAUCUGUUUGGAAAUCUGAUUAUUAGAAUCAAAUGGGAUUAACUUUUACCAGGUACAAAAAAUGGUAGAGUUUAAGCGCAAGGCCCUUCAUUUUUUAUGAAGGAACAAACUACGGAGGACAGUAGUUGGCUCUUGCAACAUUUAUCUCCUUGCCACUGGCUGUGGAUAUCGGUAAGUAUUCUUCAACCUCAUUUGAAGGCCCUUAUUCACUAUGGUCUUCUGCACAAAACUGAUUGUAGUUCUUGGACGUGUUCCUUAGCAAUGCUGCAUACAUCAGGCUACUUAGAUUGUCCCUUAAUGAUGAUUAUGAACAGGUGGUUUCAGAAUUUCUUAAUCUACACAAAUGCUCAUCUAAUUGAGGAAUCAAGGGAUGAGGCCUAGAGGGCAAACUGAUUGAGUGAGCAUGGAACCGGUUUUGGGGACUGACAGAGAAGAAGCCAUCUUUGUUACAGGAGGCCAGGCACUAACAAUGUGCAGGUCAGAUCUAGCAAGUUCCCUUCCUCCCUUGGCAUCUGCUCAAUAUAUAUAUAUAUGGUGGAAGAGAGGAAUAAGAAAUCUCAUCUUUUCAACUCCCAUUGACUCACAGCAUCAUUUUGAGUAGAUCUAAACUCAAAUGUCUGCCAAUGUUUGUUCAAUGUUCCUCACCCCAAUUCAUAAUUACAAUUACAUGCACACGAGAGGGUCUCUUCAGUCUUAUAAUAUGGAAAUUGAAGUGAUCAUGUGAAUGGUGUCAACCCUAUUUAAGACAAAAGGGAUCUUGGCAGGCUUGAAAUCACUGUAAAAUACAUCACUUGCUCGAUUCUUUUCUGAUUAGUUUAUGGAAAAAGAAAAUGCAGCCUGGAUUAGAUUAGAAGAUAUGCCAUAUGCUUAUUUUCAGGGUGAAAGGUUUCGUAUCUAUGCCAAUGGUCCUUUGACAUCAGUUUAGUUUUGUUUAACCUUUUCCAUGUGUGCUAGCUUGUAAUUGCAAUUCAUUUUGAAAGAUAAUGAUGAACCCAAUAUAUAAUCCAUACUUAGGGAGAAGUUGAAUCCACAGAUCAGUCUUGCAAUUUGCAGAUGGU
RNAcentral lists this long non-coding RNA (3450 nucleotides) under Vitis vinifera (wine grape). RNAcentral describes it as "long non-coding RNA (VVIN_LNC000636)". Lineage: Eukaryota; Viridiplantae; Streptophyta; Magnoliopsida; Vitales; Vitaceae. The record is from RNAcentral.